RNAcentral lists this long non-coding RNA (1597 nucleotides) under Homo sapiens (human). RNAcentral's name for it is "HSALNT0247569". Lineage: Eukaryota; Metazoa; Chordata; Mammalia; Primates; Hominidae. The record is from RNAcentral.
UGAACACAGAAAUUCAAUCUCAAAUAUUUAUCUGCGGUCAGCAUCCUUGCCCCAUUUCACAGAAUGGGAGACAGGUGCAGAGAGUGAAAAGAGCAGCCCAUACCAGCAGCAGGGCUAUGAAGAGAACCUUUUUGCUCCCACCCAGGCUGUGGCCCAUCCUUCUGAGUUGGAGUCACAGCAAAGCCUCCGACUGGAACAGAAACAAAAUCAACUCAGCCUUUCCUCUUUCAGAGGGAGUCAGGGCUAAUAUCCAGCUGCUGGAAGUGAGAGGCCUUUGGAGGAAGAACUCUGAGAAGCAAGGCUCCCAUCUGCUCUUUGUGGACAUUUAAUAUCUCAGGGCGAUUUCUGCAGAGCAAAGUUUAUCCCAGGCUCUGGGCUGGAUGUUUCCUGCCUCACAGGCAUGCAGGGGCUGUGAGCUAUUGGUGUCCCUGGCCAUUACGCUUCCACCCCUGAAGAGACUCGAAUCAGAAGCAGAUCAAGUGGUUUCUGUAUGAUUAUGGCUUAGAAAUGAUGAGCGGCGGUAGAAACAUGAGAUAGGAUCAUCAUCUUUAAUCCUGCACCAGCGCCAGCACAUUGGUCAUUUGCUUGUAUGGAACGUCAGUUUCAGAGGGGGCGAUUCCAUUUAAGAAGGAUGUGGUGCUUUCCCAUCAGGCAGGUGAAAUUGACUUCCGUUGAUGAUAGGAUGCCUGCAUAUUUGAAAACAGGAAAGCAUUUGCUUUGCCCCAGUUCACUUUUUGGUUAAAUAAUAUUCAAAGAGGUAGGGUGAUAAAACUCCUUUGUCACUUGUCAGCCCUGCUGUGGAAAUCCAGGAGCCAGCGUAGCAGAUGCACUUCCGAGGGUCCCGCCAUCUGUAAUUGGCUGAGUCGUCCCAGGAGUCAUGGAUCCCAUGGCAGCCAGAGAGCCCUCCUCCCUUUUGUCUCUUGCUUCUUCUCUUGCCUUGUGAUGCCUGAUCUGCUUCCCCUUCUGUUCAUGGAAGCUUCUGAAGCCCUCACCAGAAGUAGAUGCUGGCGCCAUGCUUCUUGUAUAGUCUGUAAAACUGUGUAUCAAAUAAACCUCUUUUCCUUACAAAUUGUCCAGCUGCAGGUAAUCCCUUAUAGCAACACAAAAACGGACUAAGACAAUGAGUCACAUUUGUAAUGAAAAGUGUAGUCUUUGAAAAUUUGGCGUGACUUACCUGGAGGUUUGUAAUAAUUUGAUCUACACAGGGUGACACAGGACAGCAACCAUCUGUAUAGCAUUGGGCUAUUAUAUCCAUCAGACUUGAGGAUAAUCUUCUGAGGGCAGGGACAGUGUCCAUUUCUUGCCAUUGAGUUUCCAGUGCUCACAACAAAGAUGCGUCGAUGGGUCGGGCGUGGUGGCUCACGUCUGUGAUCCCAGCACUUUGGGAGGCUGAGGUGGGCGGAUCACAAGGUCAGCAGUUUGAGACCAGCCUGGCCAACAUGGUGAAACCCCAUCUCUUCUAAAAAUACAAAAAAAAAAAAAAAUUAGGCUUGGUGGCACAUGACUGUAGUCCCAGCUACUUGGGAGGCUGAGGCAGAAGAAUCUCUUGAACCCGGGAAGCAGAAGUUGCAGUGAGCUGAGAUCACGCCAUUGCACU